AGGGAAUAGAUACCCGGGUAGUCCACGCCGUAAACGAUGGAUGCUAGCUGUACGGAGUAUCGACCCUCUGUGUAGCAAAAAGCUAACGCGUUAAGCAUCCCGCCUGUGGAGUACGAGCGCAAGCUUAAAACAUAAAGGAAUUGACGGGGACCCGCACAAGCGGUGGAGCGUGUUGUUUAAUUCGAGGAUAAGCGAAGAACCUUACCCAGGUUUGACAUCCUACUAAGGUUUCCGUAAAGGAAAACUAGUGCCUUCGGGUCCGGUACGUGACAGGUGAUGCAUGGCCGUCGUCAGCUCGUGUCGUGAGAUGUUUGG
RNAcentral lists this ribosomal RNA (315 nucleotides) under uncultured bacterium. RNAcentral's name for it is "bacterial SSU rRNA". It matches the Rfam family "Bacterial small subunit ribosomal RNA", at positions 773 to 1079 of the family's 1533-position model. The record is from RNAcentral.